RNAcentral lists this ribosomal RNA (164 nucleotides) under uncultured bacterium. Its description in RNAcentral is "partial 16S rRNA". It matches the Rfam family "Bacterial small subunit ribosomal RNA", at positions 355 to 511 of the family's 1533-position model. The record is from RNAcentral.
UAGGGAAUCUUCCACAAUGGACGCAAGUCUGAUGGAGCAACGCCGCGUGAGUGAAGAAGGUCUUCGGAUCGUAAAACUCUGUUGUUAGAGAAGAACACGAGUGAGAGUAACUGUUCAUUCGAUGACGGUAUCUAACCAGCAAAUCACGGCUAACUACGUGCCAG